CGAAAUUUCGGGUAAAUUGCCACUAGAUUCCAUUUCUUUAAGUAAUUCACUAACCUUCUCUAACUUAUUCAAUUUCCCAAAUGUUUCAACGAGAUUACGGUAAGUUGUUAUAUCAGGCACCAUUCCUCCUUCAUUCAUUGUACGAAAAACCAUCUCAGCCUCAUCCCCUAAACCCCUAUUAGCACAAGCACAAAGCAAAGUAUUAUAAGUAACAAUAUCAGACUGUACCCCUUCAUGCCUCAUUUCGGCAAAUAA
This 255-nucleotide unclassified non-coding RNA is filed under the name Hevea brasiliensis (rubber tree). The record is from RNAcentral. Lineage: Eukaryota; Viridiplantae; Streptophyta; Magnoliopsida; Malpighiales; Euphorbiaceae.